CCUAGGUGAUGCACUUGGGUGGGCAC
RNAcentral lists this non-coding RNA (26 nucleotides) under Homo sapiens (human). The record is from RNAcentral. Lineage: Eukaryota; Metazoa; Chordata; Mammalia; Primates; Hominidae.